AACGAACGCUGGCGGCAUGCCUAACACAUGCAAGUCGAGCGAGAUCUUCGGGUCUAGUGACGCACGGGUGCGUAACGCGUGGGAAUCUGCCCUUUGGUUCGGAAUAACAGUUGGAAACGACUGCUAAUACCGGAUGAUGACGAAAGUCCAAAGAUUUAUCGCCAGAGGAUGAGCCCGCGUAGGAUUAGCUAGUUGGUGUGGUAAAGGCGCACCAAGGCGACGAUCCUUAGCUGGUCUGAGAGGAUGAUCAGCCACACUGGGACUGAGACACGGCCCAGACUCCUACGGGAGGCAGCAGUGGGGAAUAUUGGACAAUGGGCGAAAGCCUGAUCCAGCAAUGCCGCGUGAGUGAUGAAGGCCUUAGGGUUGUAAAGCUCUUUUACCCGGGAUGAUAAUGACAGUACCGGGAGAAUAAGCGCCGGCUAACUCCGUGCCAGCAGCCGCCGUAA
Molecule: ribosomal RNA, 449 nt
Filed under: uncultured bacterium
Lineage: Bacteria
Description: partial 16S ribosomal RNA
Rfam family: Bacterial small subunit ribosomal RNA
Source: RNAcentral